This 1536-nucleotide long non-coding RNA is filed under the name Capsicum annuum. RNAcentral's name for it is "long non-coding RNA (CANN_LNC004014)". The record is from RNAcentral. Lineage: Eukaryota; Viridiplantae; Streptophyta; Magnoliopsida; Solanales; Solanaceae.
AAAAUUCAAAAAUUCAUUUAUUAUGAAAUGAAGGGAGCAUUAACCACAUACUAAAUAACGGAUGAGAGUUUGCGCACACCACAACAAAUCAAAAGUUUUCCCCAAGUUUUCCCGCUCUCAGCUUCGUCGUUCCUCUCAAGUUUCUUAUCCUGUUGAAGGUUUAUGAAUCGUUUUCCCCAAAAGACCACCUUACCUGAUCUCAGUUCAAUCUUCAAUCUUACAAAAAUUUGCUACCUCCCAUCAACAACUUUUUCUAACAAAAUAUUGAAUAAAUUGAACUAAAACUUGCUUAUUCGACAAGCAGAGAUGUGAAGAGUCUCAUUUCAGUGAUUAGCUCCAUGCCUAACUCAUUAUAAUCAACUUACCAGGCAAAAUUUUUUGGUUUACAAGUUCUGUAACUUUAAGGUCAGCAUUUGGAAAAAAAGUCCAUGGCCAAGAUAAGUUGAUAAAGGAUAUCUCAUCAUUGUUCUGUUUACCAUUGUUAACAUAUAAAUAAGUCCUUUCACCUGGUUAAUACUACUACUUUUGAAUAACAAAAUAGAGUGUAAAUCACAAAAAAUAAAUUUACUUUUUAGUUUCAGGGUUUCAACGAGCACGUUUGAGUAAGAAAUUUUCACAAUUCUGGAAAUUUCAUUACUAUUAGUUGCUUCUUAGAGCACCUUUAUGUGCCUCACUGAAUUAGUGAAAACAAAAAGAGUCUUGUUGUGUACUCCCUUCAUUUCGGAAUAAAUAAAUUGUUGAAUUUUGACACACAAAUUAAGAAAAAAAUAUUAAAGACAUAAAUGUAACACUCCUUUCAUUUUUACCCAUAAAAAGAAAAAGCUGACCUUGGUAAUGACUUUUCAUUUUUACCCAUAAAAAGAAAAAGCUGACCUUAGUAAUGACUUUUUAAAAGUUAAUUGAUUGUCAAAUUAAACACUAAUUUUGAAACACCAAUAAAUAUCCAACAAUUCAUUUAUUACGAAACUGAGCAAUAAUUCAUUUAUUACGGAAGAAAGAGAGUAUCUAUCAUGUUUUCACAUAAUCAAUCCUGAAAUUUGAAUUUCACUGACUGUGCCAUGUGUUGGAACUCAACUAAUUUUAACUUUCAAAAUUUUUAAAAAAAAAAAAAAAAAGUGAAAGGAUUUAAGAGCCUAUUAGUGCACAAGCCGUAAUAAAGAACGACACAUGCAAGCAUAUAAACUCACGCCGGAAUGGCUUGUUAUCGGCAGCACAAAUGGCUGAUUGCGCUAUUUUUGUUUCUCAAAGCGCAGUUUGCACACUCAUUGCCUUUUCUAUAACACAUCAGUACUAUUUUUUUUCUCAAUGCAAGCGUUUGGACAUGCGAUUUCAUAUCAAUAUUUCAAAUCGUCGUAAAAUAAUCAUUGCAAUAUAAAAAUUAUUUACUUACAUUAGAGAAUAGAGACGAUGGCCGGCAGGAGGAGAAGAAGAUCAAAUUACUGGGAACGAUAAGAUGGAUUUGAGAUUUUAUAAGGAUGAAAAGAGCCCUAGUUUUUAUUUGGGCUUAAUGGGCCUUUGUCUUAAGUUAGUUCAGGU